RNAcentral lists this long non-coding RNA (406 nucleotides) under Neodiprion pinetum (white pine sawfly). Its description in RNAcentral is "uncharacterized LOC124219048". Lineage: Eukaryota; Metazoa; Arthropoda; Insecta; Hymenoptera; Diprionidae. The record is from RNAcentral.
GUGAAACUCGACUUCAGGGACAAGCGCUCCGUAGUUCCGGCUGUCCAGGUCCUUGAUCUGGUAACUUUUGACCUUCGGACUAAUUUUCCGUAGUUCUGGCUGUCCAGGUCCUCCACCUGGUGGAUUUUGACAUCCAGGAAAAGCGCUCCGUAGUUCUGGCUGUCCAGGUCCUUGACCUGAUAUCUUUUGACCUUCCGGACAAAUUUUCAGGAUUACAAGUUUGAUUAUUGAAAACGUCAUGUUUUCUACUAUCAUCGGACAGGAAAAAAAAACCGAACGACCAGGAUUAACAAAUUGCAAUUGACACAAAUUACGCACUCCGUCUUUCCUGUCAAUUCGGGAUUCCAGCGGCGAGGCGCUUCAUUGGCCUGCUAAUAACUUUGCCAUUUUGCGACAAUUGAUGAUA